GCGGAAGUGUAGGGGUGUGAGGUGAAAAGUGAAGAGAAGCCGGGUUGUCUUCUUCCGUCCUCAGCCGGAAACACCUGAAAUGGAAAAGCUAAAACCAGCCCCAAAGUGGAAUAACUCAAAUGUCCAUCAACAAGUGUAUCUCCUGGGAUACUGCUGGGCAAUACAAAGGAACAAGCUAUUGAUAACAACUAUUACCAGGUGAAUCUGGGAAUAACUACGCUGAGUGAAAGAUGCCGGACCAGAGGAGAGUGCAUAGCAUAGAAUUUGAUUUAUGUAAAAUUCUAGAAAAUGAAAACUGAUCUAAAGUGAUCUGUAGUGAUCACUAUCUGUAGUGAUAGUGGUUGCCUGGGGAUGGGAGAAGGAAUAGAGGGAUGUAUUACCAAAGGACACAAGGGAACUUAGAGGAGUGUAUUCAAGUCCUCCAGAAAAAC
This 431-nucleotide long non-coding RNA is filed under the name Mustela putorius furo (domestic ferret). Its description in RNAcentral is "lncRNA (ENSMPUG00000026255.1)". The record is from RNAcentral. Lineage: Eukaryota; Metazoa; Chordata; Mammalia; Carnivora; Mustelidae.